RNAcentral lists this small nucleolar RNA (149 nucleotides) under Sorex araneus (European shrew). RNAcentral's name for it is "Small nucleolar RNA SNORA27 (ENSSARG00000018691.1)". It matches the Rfam family "Small nucleolar RNA SNORA27". From Rfam's summary of the family: ACA27 is a member of the H/ACA class of snoRNA that guide the sites of modification of uridines to pseudouridines. The record is from RNAcentral. Lineage: Eukaryota; Metazoa; Chordata; Mammalia; Eulipotyphla; Soricidae.
UGCCCCCUUCUCACUCUGCCAAUCAGACUUGUGUCUUAAUUGGUCCUUCAAGGGGACAAAGAAAGAGUCCUUUUAAGCCUCAAGCAAACUGGGGUCAAAGCGAUAAUACAGCAGGUAGGGCAUUUGCCUUGCAUACAGCUGACCUAGGU